Molecule: transfer RNA, 70 nt
Filed under: Scleropages formosus (Asian bonytongue)
Lineage: Eukaryota; Metazoa; Chordata; Actinopteri; Osteoglossiformes; Osteoglossidae
Rfam family: tRNA
About the family: Transfer RNA (tRNA) molecules are approximately 80 nucleotides in length.
Source: Rfam by way of RNAcentral
GCUGCGAUGGCCGAGUGGUUAAGGCGUUGGCCUUGAAAUCCAAUGGGGUUUCCCCGCGCAGGUUCGAAUC